This 569-nucleotide ribosomal RNA is filed under the name Schoenlandella variegata. RNAcentral describes it as "eukaryotic LSU rRNA". It matches the Rfam family "Eukaryotic large subunit ribosomal RNA", at positions 432 to 781 of the family's 3401-position model. Lineage: Eukaryota; Metazoa; Arthropoda; Insecta; Hymenoptera; Braconidae. The record is from RNAcentral.
CAUCGUCAGCAUUUAUAGUAUUAGUACAAAUUAUGAUGUAAUUAUAUAAUCCUUGUGGUUAUCAUUAUUGUACUUAUUUGUAUUAUUUUAACUAUUUAUGUCGGCGUGCACUUCUCCUCUAGUAGGACGUUGCGACCUGUUAAAUGUUUAUCUAUGGCCCAUAAGGUAGACUUGUGUAUUUUUAAUACGUAAGACCUUAUGGAUUCCUGAUAAACUGUUUGACAGUAUAUAUAUGGUAUUGAGCCGCAAAUUUAUUUGCGUUAGACUUAACACAAGUAAGGUUGUCUUUAAGCAGUACGGACAUGUGCCGUCGUUUAAAGCAAUCAACUGUUAGUGUUAAAGUCUCUAACUGGCUUAUUUUACCAGUCAGCGAUGCUACUGCUUUGGGUACUUACAGGACCCGUCUUGAAACACGGACCAAGGAGUCUAACAUGUGCGCAAGUCAUUGGGAUUUUUUUUAAAACAAACCUAAAGGCGUAAUGAAAGUAAAGAUUGUCUUUAUGACAAUUGAGGGAAGAUGGGUUAUAUUACGAUAUAAUCCCGCAUUCCCAGGACGUCUUAUUCUCAUU